Molecule: ribosomal RNA, 793 nt
Filed under: Pseudocosmospora sp. C.H. 11-02
Lineage: Eukaryota; Fungi; Ascomycota; Sordariomycetes; Hypocreales; Nectriaceae
Description: eukaryotic LSU rRNA
Rfam family: Eukaryotic large subunit ribosomal RNA
Source: RNAcentral
CGGCGAGUGAAGCGGCAACAGCUCAAAUUUGAAAUCUGGCCCUUGGGUCCGAGUUGUAAUUUGUAGAGGAUGCUUUUGGUGCGGUGCCUUCCGAGUUCCCUGGAACGGGACGCCAUAGAGGGUGAGAGCCCCGUCUGGUUGGACACCUAACCUCUGUAAAGCUCCUUCGACGAGUCGAGUAGUUUGGGAAUGCUGCUCUAAAUGGGAGGUAUAUGUCUUCUAAAGCUAAAUACCGGCCAGAGACCGAUAGCGCACAAGUAGAGUGAUCGAAAGAUGAAAAGCACUUUGAAAAGAGGGUUAAAUAGUACGUGAAAUUGUUGAAAGGGAAGCGCUUGUGACCAGACUUGAGCCCGGUUAAUCAUCCAGCCUUCUGGCUGGUGCACUUGGCCGGCUCAGGCCAGCAUCAGUUCGGCGCGGGGGAUAAAGGCUUCGGGAAUGUGGCUCCUCCGGGAGUGUUAUAGCCCGUUGUGUAAUACCCUGUACUGGACUGAGGUUCGCGCAUCUGCAAGGAUGCUGGCGUAAUGGUCAUCAGCGACCCGUCUUGAAACACGGACCAAGGAGUCGUCUUCGUAUGCGAGUGUUCGGGUGUCAAACCCCUACGCGUAAUGAAAGUGAACGCAGGUGAGAGCUUCGGCGCAUCAUCGACCGAUCCUGAUGUUCUCGGAUGGAUUUGAGUAAGAGCAUACGGAGCCGGACCCGAAAGAAGGUGAACUAUGCCUGUAUAGGGUGAAGCCAGAGGAAACUCUGGUGGAGGCUCGCAGCGGUUCUGACGUGCAAAUCGAUCGUCAAAUAU